GUUAAUUUUUAGAUAAAAAGUAACUUAUCUGAACUAUUGGCCAUUUUGAGUUGGCGACCCAAUCUUUCAAAAUUUUGAUUUGAGUCGGUCUACAGAACUUUAACUUCAAAAUUUAAAUAUAUCGUUUAUCUGUACAGAUUUAGUUAGUAUGUUUCAUACAAUUCUUAUAGUUAUGAACUCAUUAAAAUAAGUAAUUAGCUUAAAUUUUAAAGUCAAAGUACCAUUGACCGACUCAAAUCAAGCAAAUAAAAAAGUUAGGUAGUGAAAUCAAAAUUUUAAAAGAUUGUGCAGUAAUUCAAAAUGAUUCAUAGUUCAGAUAAGUUAUAUAUAUUUUUAUCUUAAUAUUUGCCAAAUG
This 355-nucleotide long non-coding RNA is filed under the name Ananas comosus (pineapple). RNAcentral describes it as "long non-coding RNA (ACOM_LNC025561)". The record is from RNAcentral. Lineage: Eukaryota; Viridiplantae; Streptophyta; Magnoliopsida; Poales; Bromeliaceae.